Long non-coding RNA from Ictidomys tridecemlineatus (thirteen-lined ground squirrel), 529 nucleotides. RefSeq lists it as uncharacterized. NCBI's taxonomy places the organism in Eukaryota, Metazoa, Chordata, Mammalia, Rodentia, Sciuridae. The record is from RefSeq and is a predicted model, not a curated record.
UGCCUGCUCCAGGCUCCCCCGGCCACACAAGGAUUACUUCCGGGUCUAACCGGAAGUGACGGAGAACUGCUUCAGGGGGCUGGCUGCGCGCUGGUAGCCAGCAGGCCCUGGGGAGGCCCAGACUCUCUACCACUUCGAGGCGUCCAAGGACAUAGCUCAUACGGGGUACCAGAGCGGAAGUCCCUGUAGAGCUGUGCCUCUCCCCACCCAGAAAAAAGACUCAUGGCAAAUCUUGUCUCAGGGGUCCAGCAAUUCUCUUGCCCCAGUAGGUGCUUUCAUUACUGACGGCUAACUGCCUAGGGCUCAGAAGCCUCCGAGGAGGAUGUUGGAGAACGGCUGGAGGGUUUGUGUUCCAUCUGCCAACAGGCUGCACAGAAGAUAUGGAACCAUGGGAAUAUGUAUGGCGGCAGCAUAAACUAAGUCCCACCGGGGCUGGGGUUGUGGUUCAAUGGUAGAGCAGUGGCCUAGCAGGUGGGAGGCCCUGGGUUCAAUCUUCAGCACCACAUAAAAAUAAAUAAAAUAAAAGCAU